This 70-nucleotide transfer RNA is filed under the name Ictidomys tridecemlineatus (thirteen-lined ground squirrel). Its description in RNAcentral is "Spermophilus tridecemlineatus (thirteen-lined ground squirrel) tRNA". It matches the Rfam family "tRNA". From Rfam's summary of the family: Transfer RNA (tRNA) molecules are approximately 80 nucleotides in length. Lineage: Eukaryota; Metazoa; Chordata; Mammalia; Rodentia; Sciuridae. The record is from Rfam by way of RNAcentral.
GGUGGUGGCUCAGCGGUAGAGCGCUUGCCUAGCAUGUGUGAGGCACUGGGUUCAAUUCUCAGCACCACUU